Molecule: ribosomal RNA, 468 nt
Filed under: uncultured bacterium
Lineage: Bacteria
Description: partial 16S ribosomal RNA
Rfam family: Bacterial small subunit ribosomal RNA
Source: RNAcentral
GACGAACGCUGGCGGCGUGCUUAACACAUGCAAGUCGAACGGAAAGGCCCUGCUUUUGUGGGGUGCUCGAGUGGCGAACGGGUGAGUAACACGUGAGUAACCUGCCCUUGACUUUGGGAUAACUUCAGGAAACUGGGGCUAAUACCGGAUAGGGGCUCCUGCUGCAUGGUGGGGGUUGGAAAGUUUCGGCGGUUGGGGAUGGACUCGCGGCUUAUCAGCUUGUUGGUGGGGUAGUGGCUUACCAAGGCUUUGACGGGUAGCCGGCCUGAGAGGGUGACCGGCCACAUUGGGACUGAGAUACGGCCCAGACUCCUACGGGAGGCAGCAGUGGGGAAUAUUGCACAAUGGGCGGAAGCCUGAUGCAGCAACGCCGCGUGCGGGAUGACGGCCUUCGGGUUGUAAACCGCUUUCGCCUGUGACGAAGCGUGAGUGGCGGUAAUGGGUAAAGAAGCACCGGCUAACUACGUG